RNAcentral lists this unclassified non-coding RNA (242 nucleotides) under fungal sp. Its description in RNAcentral is "partial internal transcribed spacer region". The stretch from base 1 to 45 matches the Rfam family "Eukaryotic small subunit ribosomal RNA", at positions 1787 to 1831 of the family's 1831-position model. Lineage: Eukaryota; Fungi. The record is from RNAcentral.
AGUCGUAACAAGGUAUCCGUAGGUGAACCUGCGGAUGGAUCAUUAUAGGGUGUUGGGUAAUUGUGAGUGGUUUUAUUAGUAGUUUGAGCGGUGUUGGUUGGGAUGCGAAGCAGGAUUGCCGAGCAGGAUUGCCAAGCAGGAUUGCCAAGCAAGACAGCCAACAUUGCCUCACGUUAAACUCUAUAAAUCUAACAAUUACAUACAAAAAAAAACAACUUUUAGCAACGGAUCUCUUGGCUCUC